RNAcentral lists this long non-coding RNA (5761 nucleotides) under Mytilus galloprovincialis (Mediterranean mussel). Lineage: Eukaryota; Metazoa; Mollusca; Bivalvia; Mytilida; Mytilidae. The record is from RNAcentral.
AACAAAACGAAGUCACUAGAGGCAAUGUUUUCUAUAUUUAUAUAUAGACUAGUAGUGGAUUUGAAAAGUGCUGUAUUGAUUCAUGUGCAAAUAAGGAGCAGCGGCCAAUGAAACAUUGCAAUUGUGUGAUGAGAGGUAUGUCAUGAAAGUUAUGCCUUUGUUUAAAUAUUUUUUUGUUUUCAGACUUACAUGUACAAUGUACAAGUAAAUGUUGAGGUCAUAGAGGUGACAAUUUUUAUUCUUGGGUUACUUUGAAAAUUUUAGUUUGAAAAUUAACCAUUUUAGCUUUGACAAAUUAAACUAUUUAUUUUAAUUAGUCAAUUUUAUAUAAAAUUGCAUUGGAAGCUCUCUUUACUCUACUUUACUGGUUCUUUUUAGCUAAUCUAGCCAAAAGGGCCAAAUUAACUUUUCUUUUUACUUGGUGUCUUUUUAUUAUUUUCUACGAAAAUCUUCUCUGAAACUACUACAAUGUACAUGAUGUAAUAAGCCAUAUUCAACUAAACUUGGUCACAAUCAUAAUAAGGGUAUCUUUGCUUUCUACCAUAAUGGCGCCUUUUGACGCAACCCCCUUUACUCUAUAAUGACGCCUUUAGAUGCCUGUGUAGUCCCUAAGUUGAAACGUAUUGCCUACGAAAAAACUUUAUCAGACUUUAAAAAAAUUGCAUGUUAUAUAAAAAGGAUAUUCAUGAAAAUGUCUUACUGGAAUUUUAUUGAUGAAAUAUUUCUUUUGGCAAUGCAUAAAUACAUGUAAUACUUUAAACCUGAUAAUUUUUUUUAAUGAAAAAAUCCUAUGCAAUCAAGUAUGUAAAAAAAAAUCCAUGGAGGAAAGGGUGAAAACAAAAUUGUCUGAUGACCCCACUUGCCAACCAAAGUCACAUGGCUGACAUGCAUAAAAAUAGAACACUAGUGUGAAAUGCAAGAUUUGUCAAUUAUUUUAAAAACCUUUAUAACAAAGAAAAUCUGAUAGAGGCAGAACUGUCAGACAACUUCUAAUAGGAUUUGUAGCUCUGAAAUGACAAAUUUGACCUUUGUUUUGGUUUUUGUCUAUUACACAUGUAUCUGUAUUUAAAAAACUUUUUUUUUAUAACAAUAUAGAUUGAGAGAAAUUUUAAAUUGCAAAAAAUUGAAAAAUGAUCAACAAGACAAGUUCUAAAAAUAAUAAAAUUGAGUUCGGAAAGGGAAUGUGUCAAAGAGGCAACAACUCAAACGUGUUAAUGUUAAGUUUAUGUGACAGUUUUUAAUAAAGUUUUAUACUUAGGACUAUCAACAUAAUAUCAAUGAUUAGUAAAGAAUGCGAGACAUUUCAGCAUGUGCACUCUUGUUGACAUAGGAGAAAUUUUUAAAGAUUUGUUAAAAUUCAUGAUUAUAAUUAGGUCAGUUUAAAAGAAACCAAGAAAUAAAUUACCAUGAACUUGUCAAUAAUACUUGUUAUUGGUUGAAGUAAGAUAUGUACUUCUCAUUUCCAUGGAGAUUAUAUAUUAACCAAGAGAAGCACAUAAACUUUGGCCUUGUCCACAGUCAAUAUAUUUCUCUUGAUAUAACUUUUUGUGUAGUUUUAAAAGUUGACUAUGAAAUAAUCACUUAAAAUGACGGGUGAUUUUUUACUAAUCAUAGGGACAUAAGAUGGGUACAUAAUCCUUAAAUCAGUGAAUUAUAAUGAAAUCAAUGUUUUAAUUGUUUUAAUUUUAGAGGUCAUUUCUCCACAAAAACAUACAUAAUAGUGAUAAAGAAAAGGGGAAAAUAUUACAGAGACAGUACAUGGACACCAGCAUGAGCAAGUAAAGAUGAGGUAUUAUGUUAUAAAGAAUAUAUAUAUCUAUAUAUAUAUUUAUAAAUGUUUUAUUAAGUUGUGACCUCAAGCAAUCAAAUUAUAUCACCACUAAAUGGUCCAAGGACACAGUUAUCGUCCUUUGGUUUUCGUUGUUUAGGAAUAUACAUGUAGUCCCUAGUGUAAACAGUGUAUAACUUGCAUGUUUUAUUUGAUACACUUUCCCAAUUUAUUUCUUGAUAUUAAAUGCAUGCAUAUUUAGUAGGGGGAUGUAAUAUCAUGUUAAAAAAAUUUGGGUGCUGAAUCUUUGGUGAUUUGUUCCAGUUCAAAAGGUCAAAAUUUAUACACGUCUGAAGCUGUCAUUCUGAAUUUUACACUACUCAACACAGAUUGUCAAUAUUUGAGUUUGAGCUGGUAGAAGUUUCUAUAAUUUUGAUAUUAUUUGUCUCACUGGUAGUACACUACACUGUAAAAAUCUUUUUGAGAAAUAACAGGUGCAAUUUUUUUAAUUGAAUUAUUGUCUAAAAAAAUGCACUACGAAAUAACUGUGUUUUCCCAAAUGAAGUGGGUGGUAAACAGGAUUUUCCUUGACCAAAUUGACAUGUAAACAUUAAAAAAUAACAUAGAAAAUAUUGAUAACAAUAAUCAAUUCAACAUUACCAACAUAGAAAUUCAGUAAAGCUAUCAAUAAGAAAGUGUCACAAUGCCAGCAUCACACUUCAGCUUAAUCAAAAUAAACAAAUAUAUACUAGUUCAGUGAUAAUGAACACCAUACUGAUUAUACCCCACGCAACGAAGUUGCGAAGGGUAUAACCCGUCAGUCCGUCCGUCAGUCCUGUUUCUUGUCAUCGCAACUACUCUCAAACCACACAACAGAAUUUCAUGAAACUUUGUAGAUAAUAAGGACAUACUAUGUAGAUGUGCAUAUCAAUAGGAAAUUACGGUUCAAUUAUUUUUCUAAGAGUUAUGCCCCUUUGAACUUAUUUGCUUCAAUGUACUUCUGCAACAGUUUUUCAUCUCAACUCCUCUGAACACACAACAGAAUUUCAUGAAUUUGUAGAUAAAGGACAUACUAUUGUAUAUGACAGGAAAUUUUAUUCAAUAUUUUUUCUUCUUAUUUUUUUUUCUAUACUUAUUUAAUUCUCCAAUGACAAUGUGGGACGUGGGGUAUGUGAGCGUGCUCACUAAGGUUCUUUAAUUUCCAAAUUGUACACAAGAAACUAAAAUUAAAAUAAUACAAGACUAACAAAGGCCAGAAGCUCCUGACUUGGGACAAGCGCAAAAAUGUGGCGGGGUUAAACAUGUUUGUGAGAUCUCAACCCUCCCCCUAUAUAUACCUCUAGCCAAUGUAGAAAAGUAAACGCAUAACAAUACGCACAUUAAAAUUCAGUUCUAGAGAAGUCCGAGUCUAAUGUCAUAAGAUGUAACCAAAGAAAAUAAACAAAAUGACAAUAAUACAUAAAUAACAACAGACUACUAGCAGUUAACUGACAUGCCAGCUCCAGACUUCAAUUAAAAUGACUGAAAGAUUAUGAUUUCAUCAUAUGAACAUCAGUCACAAUCCUUCCCGUUAGGAGUUUAGUAUCAUACCAUCAUAACAUAUAUGAGAAGAACAUAACCUGUGUCAUGCCAACAACUGGUUUUUGAAUAAAUGUGUUUAGUUCAGAUGCAAAGACCCUAUAAGUGAAUCAAUAUUAACGCCAAAAUAUGCAAUCUUUAAUGACCUGACCACAGUAUCGUAACUAUAGCCCUUCUUAAUAAGUCUAUUCAAAGGUGUUGUUAGUUAUUGAGGUGAUUACUUUUGAAUUUCUUUGUCCUCAACAACAAAAAAAUAAUAAAAUUUAAAACAUAAUUAUUUUGUAAUUUGGAUUAUCAUGAUUAUGAGGGGGUUUAUAUUAGUUAGACAAAACACAUAAACAUGUGUACCUAUAUGCUUUAAAAAUGACAUGUAUAGUAUAUCAAACAAUUAUAACUAAAGAAAGGUGACAGUUGAGGAUGCAAACAAAAUUGUUUCCUUUAUUAGUUAUAAUGAGUUAUUUGAGAAGGAAAAGGAUAUCUGUUUAAAUAUGUAUUCUGAUAUUAUGUGAUUUUCAAUGGUUUUUAGUUCCCUUCCUAUGGUCUGUCCAUCCAGUUUUCCACACUUUUUUAUACCCCAUUUAUCUGCAUUUUGUUUUUCGGUUUGUUCGUCGGUUUCUCAGUUUGUCUUUCUUCAGGUUAAAAUUUUUGGUCAAGGUAGUUAUUGAUGAAGUUGAAGACCAAUGAUAUUAUCUGUCUAAAUUUAAUGCCAAAUAAGAGUUUUGUUCCCAAUUUCAUGGUCCACUGAACAUAGAAAAUGAUAGUGCGAGGGGCAUCCAUGAACUAGUUUAUGGACACAUUCUUGUUUCUUCAUCCUUGAAGAUAUUGAUAUGAUAUUGUUUAAUCAUGACAUGUUAUAGAUCCAGUUUAAAUUUUGUUAUGGUCUGAUGAUUUUGGGCAUUAAUAAUAGUCCUUGGUCUUACAAAAUUCACUUAAAUAAUUAAUUUUCUACACUUUUUUAUGCCCCACCUACGAUAUUAUGCUCCACCUACGAUAGUAGAGGGACAUUAUGUUUUCUGGCCUGUGCGUCCGUUCGUCCGUCUGUCCCGCUUGAGGUUAAAGUUUUUGGUCAAGGUAGUUUUUGAUUAAGCUAAGUCCAAUCAACUUGAAACUUAGUACACAUGUUCAUUAUGAUAUGAUCUUUCUUAUUUUAAAGUCAAAUUAGACUUUUGACCCCCAAUUUCACGGUCCACUGAACAUAGAAAAUGAAAGUGUCAGUUUCAGGUUAAAGUUUUUGGUUAAGGUAGUUUUUAAUGAAGUUGAAGUCCAAUCAACAUGAAACUUAGUACACAUGUUCCCAUAUGGUAUGAUCUUUCUAAUUUUAAUGCCAAAUUAGAUUUUUUUUUUCAAUUUCACGGUCCAUUGAACAUGGGAAAUGAUAGUGCGAGUGCGUCAUCCGUGUACUUUGGACACAUUCUUGUUUAAUCAUGCUUGAAGAUAUUGAUUUGAUAUUUGUUAUAUAGUUUACACCAUGACAAGUUAUAGAUAAAGUUAGAAAUUUGUUCCAAUACAAUGAAAUUUAACUGGUAGGGGACUAUAUUGCAAUGCAACACUGACAGAAUGCUUGUAAAUAUACAGAUGUACAUGUAUCACUGUAAGUAAUAAUAAUAUUAACCUUAAUUUGAUUAUUUUGCUUGUUUUAAAAUCAAGGUAAAUUGAUAGUUAGUUGUUUGUUAUAAUAAAGUUUGCAUCUUGCUUUAUUUCAGAAUCUGCCAUGGAAAGAAACUGUUUAAAGAAGAAAAAAAAAGAUGAAGAAAUAGACUUUAACUUGUGUUACAUUUUAUUAUACUAUUAACAAAUUUUAAAAAUAUAUUCUGUAACCAAAGAUGAGAAUUUAUUAUCAAUCAUGCCAUUUGAAGGAAACAUGCAUGUAUAGAAAUUGGUUUAAUCUUAAGCUGAUGGGAUGGUUAAGGGGUUCUCAUCUUAAUGAUACAAUUUGUAAUCGCUCUUAAAAAUUCUAAAAAAAAAACAUGUCAAAGUGCAAACUGUAUAGCUGUAGAUUCUUUAUUGAUUGAAACAUCUGUAUUCAGACGAAAUGCCCAUAUGAUGCAAUAUAUAAUUGAUACCAUGAAAGUUUUAUUUCAAAAGCAUAAUUCACAUCAUGAUAAAAAUGAGAAUGAAAUUGGGGAAUGUGUCAAAGUGACAACCAUCCGACCAUAGAAAAAACAACAGCAGAAUGUCACCAACAGGUCUUCAAUGUAGCGAAAAAUUCCCACACCUGGAGGCGUCCUUCAGCGGGCCCCAAAACAAUACUAGUUCAGUGAUAAUCAUGACAUGUUUUGUUCAUAUAUCCUACAUGUUAUUAGAACACCUCAGUUAGUCUGAAAGUGCUUGCCUUGAGUGCAGGAGGUUAUUAAAGGUUAAAACAGGGACCGAGUCAAUGCAAAGACUUGAAAACUGGUAUAAGCUGCUUUGCUA